AAGCAACACUCUAUGGCAGAUGAUCAAAACUGUCUGAAAAUUUUUGUACUUGCUACAGCAAGAAAGUCUAACCAAUUCCAGUAGUCUCUUCUCCAUGAGACAAGCUGCUAUGAUACUUAAAUAGC
Molecule: small nucleolar RNA, 125 nt
Organism: Sorex araneus (European shrew)
Lineage: Eukaryota; Metazoa; Chordata; Mammalia; Eulipotyphla; Soricidae
Product: small nucleolar RNA, H/ACA box 28
Source: Ensembl